This 472-nucleotide ribosomal RNA is filed under the name uncultured bacterium. RNAcentral's name for it is "partial 16S ribosomal RNA". It matches the Rfam family "Bacterial small subunit ribosomal RNA", at positions 28 to 507 of the family's 1533-position model. The record is from RNAcentral.
GACGAACGCUGGCGGCGUGCUUAACACAUGCAAGUCGAACGCUGAAGCUUGGUGCUUGCCCUGGGUGGAUGAGUGGCGAACGGGUGAGUAAUACGUGAGUAACCUGCCCUUGACUCUGGGAUAAGCCUGGGAAACUGGGUCUAAUACUGGAUACGACAUGUCACCGCAUGGUGGUGUGUGGAAAGGGUUUUACUGGUUUUGGAUGGGCUCGCGGCCUAUCAGCUUGUUGGUGGGGUAAUGGCUCACCAAGGCGACGACGGGUAGCCGGCCUGAGAGGGUGACCGGCCACACUGGGACUGAGACACGGCCCAGACUCCUACGGGAGGCAGCAGUGGGGAAUAUUGCACAAUGGGCGGAAGCCUGAUGCAGCGACGCCGCGUGAGGGAUGACGGCCUUCGGGUUGUAAACCUCUUUCAGCACGGAAGAAGCGAAAGUGACGGUACGUGCAGAAGAAGCGCCGGCUAACUACGUG